Phrynosoma platyrhinos (Desert horned lizard) is the source of this 71-nucleotide non-coding RNA. The record is from the annotation of a GenBank genome assembly. Lineage: Eukaryota; Metazoa; Chordata; Lepidosauria; Squamata; Phrynosomatidae.
GGAUGAGUGGUAUAGUGGUUGAGUGUUGGACUCUGACUCUAGAUAUUAGGGUUUGAUUCCCAGCUUGGCCA